AUACGGAGGAUCCGAGCGUUAUCCGGAUUUAUUGGGUUUAAAGGGAGCGUAGGCGGGAAGUCAAGUCAGCUGUGAAAUGUAGGUGCUCAACGCCUGCACUGCAGUUGAAACUGGUUUUCUUGAGUGCGUAAGGGGCAGGCGGAAUUCGUCGUGUAGCGGUGAAAUGCUUAGAUAUGACGAAGAACUCCGUUCGCGAAGGCAGCUUGCCGGGCCGCAACUGACGCUGAAGCUCGAAGGUGCGGGUAUCGAACAGGAUUAGAUACCCUGGUAGUCAGCACAGUAAACGAUGGAUACUCGCUGUCGGCGAUAUACGGUCGGUGGCCAAGCGAAAGCGUUAAGUAUCCCACCUGGGGAGUACGCCGGCAACGGUGAAACUCAAAUGAAUUGACGGGG
This 393-nucleotide ribosomal RNA is filed under the name uncultured bacterium. Its description in RNAcentral is "partial 16S ribosomal RNA". It matches the Rfam family "Bacterial small subunit ribosomal RNA", at positions 523 to 918 of the family's 1533-position model. The record is from RNAcentral.